GGUGGAUUUUGGGAUCAAAACCCCCGGAUGCUACCUUAGGAGUGGUCUGAGUUGUAGAGGUUACAAGCAGAUUUUUAAGGACAAAACGAGGAGGUGUGGCAAGGCAGUCCCAGCCUGUUCACCUAGAGGGCACCUCCUUAACAGAGGUGAGCUGAUGGAUGAUCAGCCCAGCUGAAGGCUCCCGUGCUUCUGGGAAUAGUCACUGUGAGCAUGUGGUCAGCCCAUUGCUGGAAUCAUUCCCAUGAGCAGGAGGGAUCAAGGAAUUUCAGGGGCUGGCUGUGGCCUCCUGCCCCUUCCCUUAAUUGACUGAACCUCUGAUUGUCCCAUUUCAUUUUCAGGUUCUUGGCCAUAAAAUACUGCUUUUGGAAAAAUAAAGCUGAGAGUCGCGGUGGGGGUGGGGGGCUUCCCCAUCUGUGAACACAGCAGGAGUUUGGAACCGCCUUCUUUACUGCUAGAGAGCCAAAACUCGAGUGAAAACCAGGAUGCUGGCAAAUGUGGAGUGUCUAAGCUACACGGGAAAUCUGAACUCGGAAGCAGGGCUCCGCGAAGCUGCGGGAAACCACCCAAAGUCACCCCCUGGAGUAGUGGUGAAAUAAACAAGGCACAUGUACCCCUGGAAAUACCAUACAGCCAUUAUGGAUGAGGAAGAAUACCCAAGACCUGUUUAUUGUUAGAAAAAAAGACCUGGAAUGACAAAUUGAUAUUGUUUACACAUAAAAAUUAGUGUCCCCAUCUGUAUGGAUGCAAAGGCACAGAAAAGCAGCC
This 765-nucleotide long non-coding RNA is filed under the name Callithrix jacchus (white-tufted-ear marmoset). RNAcentral's name for it is "lncRNA (ENSCJAG00000076836.1)". Lineage: Eukaryota; Metazoa; Chordata; Mammalia; Primates; Cebidae. The record is from RNAcentral.